RNAcentral lists this ribosomal RNA (439 nucleotides) under uncultured bacterium. RNAcentral describes it as "partial 16S ribosomal RNA". It matches the Rfam family "Bacterial small subunit ribosomal RNA", at positions 339 to 795 of the family's 1533-position model. The record is from RNAcentral.
CUACGGGCGGCAGCAGUGGGGAAUAUUGCACAAUGGGGGAAACCCUGAUGCAGCAACGCCGCGUGGAGGAUGACACAUUUCGGUGCGUAAACUCCUUUUAUAUAAGAAGAUAAUGACGGUAUUAUAUGAAUAAGCACCCGCUAACUCCGUGCCAGCAGCCGCGGUAAUACGGAGGGUGCAAGCGUUAGUCGGAAUCACUGGGCGUAAAGGGUGCGUAGGCGGUUUGGAAAGUCAGGCGUGAAAGCCCGGGGCUCAACUCCGGAACUGCACUUGAAACUUCCAGACUAGAAUACUGAAGGGGCAGAUGGAAUUAGUGGUGUAGGGGUAAAAUCCGUAGAUAUCACUAGGAAUACCGAAAGCGAAAGCGAUCUGCUGGGAAGUUAUUGACGCUGAGGCACGAAAGCGUGGGGAGCAAACAGGAUUAGAUACCCCUGUAGUC